GUCUUAAUUGGGCGUUAAGUUGCAGGGUAUAGACCCGAAACCCGGUGAUCUAGCCAUGGGCAGGUUGAAGGUUGGGUAACACUAACUGGAGGACCGAACCGACUAAUGUUGAAAAAUUAGCGGAUGACCUGUGGCUGGGGGUGAAAGGCCAAUCAAACCGGGAGAUAGCUGGUUCUCCCCGAAAGCUAUUUAGGUAGCGCCUCGUGAAUUCAUCUCCGGGGGUAGAGCACUGUUUCGGCUAGGGGGCCAUCCCGGCUUACCAACCCGAUGCAAACUGCGAAUACCGGAGAAUGUUAUCACGGGAGACACACGGCGGGUGCUAACGUCCGUCGUGAAGAGGGAAACAACCCAGACCGCCAGCUAAGGUCCCAAAGUCAUGGUUAAGUGGGAAACGAUGUGGGAAGGCCCAGACAGCCAGGAUGUUGGCUUAGAAGCAGCCAUCAUUUAAAGAAAGCGUAAUAGCUCACUGGUCGAGUCGGCCUGCGCGGAAGAUGUAACGGG
Molecule: ribosomal RNA, 501 nt
Filed under: Salmonella enterica subsp. enterica serovar Enteritidis
Lineage: Bacteria; Pseudomonadati; Pseudomonadota; Gammaproteobacteria; Enterobacterales; Enterobacteriaceae
Description: partial 23S ribosomal RNA
Rfam family: Bacterial large subunit ribosomal RNA
Source: RNAcentral